RNAcentral lists this ribosomal RNA (1000 nucleotides) under uncultured bacterium. RNAcentral's name for it is "bacterial SSU rRNA". It matches the Rfam family "Bacterial small subunit ribosomal RNA", at positions 353 to 1371 of the family's 1533-position model. The record is from RNAcentral.
AGUGGGGAAUAUUGCACAAUGGGGGAAACCCUGAUGCAGCAACGCCGCGUGGAGGAUGACACAUUUCGGUGCGUAAACUCCUUUUAUAUGGGAAGAUAAUGACGGUACCAUAUGAAUAAGCACCGGCUAACUCCGUGCCAGCAGCCGCGGUAAUACGGAGGGUGCAAGCGUUACUCGGAAUCACUGGGCGUAAAGCGCGCGCAGGCGGCUAUUUAAGUUGGAUGUGAAAGCCUACGGCUCAACCGUAGAACUGCAUCCAAAACUAUUUAGCUAGAGUGUGGGAGAGGAAGAUGGAAUUAGUUGUGUAGGGGUAAAAUCCGUAGAGAUAACUAGGAAUACCAAAAGCGAAGGCAAUCUUCUGGAACACUACUGACGCUGAGGCGCGAAAGCGUGGGGAGCAAACAGGAUUAGAUACCCUGGUAGUCCACGCAGUAAACGAUGAAUGUUAGUCGUCGGGGGCCUAGUGUCUUCGGUGAUGCAGCUAACGCAUUAAACAUUCCGCCUGGGGAGUACGGUCGCAAGAUUAAAACUCAAAGGAAUAGACGGGGACCCGCACAAGUGGUGGAGCAUGUGGUUUAAUUCGAAGAUACGCGAAGAACCUUACCUAGCCUUGACAUAUUUUAGAACUCCGUAGAGAUACAGAGGUGCCUUCGGGAGCUAAUUUACAGGUGCUGCACGGCUGUCGUCAGCUCGUGUCGUGAGAUGUUGGGUUAAGUCCCGCAACGAGCGCAACCCUCGUCACUAGUUACUAACGGUUCGGCCGAGGACUCUAGUGAGACUGCCUUCGUAAGGAGGAGGAAGGUGAGGACGACGUCAAGUCAUCAUGGCCCUUACGGCUAGGGCAACACACGUGCUACAAUGGCCAGGACAGUGAGACGCGAUACCGUGAGGUGGAGCAAAUCUAUAAACCUGGUCUCAGUUCGGAUUGUAGUCUGCAACUCGACUACAUGAAGCUGGAAUCACUAGUAAUCGUAGAUCAGCUAUGCUACGGUGAAUACGU